Molecule: non-coding RNA, 31 nt
Filed under: Rattus norvegicus (Norway rat)
Lineage: Eukaryota; Metazoa; Chordata; Mammalia; Rodentia; Muridae
Source: RNAcentral
UGACAGAAGCUGACUUUCUGAGUCAGACCGU